This 382-nucleotide ribosomal RNA is filed under the name uncultured bacterium. RNAcentral describes it as "partial 16S ribosomal RNA". It matches the Rfam family "Bacterial small subunit ribosomal RNA", at positions 523 to 907 of the family's 1533-position model. The record is from RNAcentral.
AUACGGAGGAUCCGAGCGUUAUCCGGAUUUAUUGGGUUUAAAGGGAGCGUAGGUGGAUUGUUAAGUCAGUUGUGAAAGUUUGCGGCUCAACCGUAAAAUUGCAGUUGAAACUGGCAGUCUUGAGUACAGUAGAGGUGGGCGGAAUUCGUGGUGUAGCGGUGAAAUGCUUAGAUAUCACGAAGAACUCCGAUUGCGAAGGCAGCUCACUAGACUGUUACUGACACUGAUGCUCGAAAGUGUGGGUAUCAAACAGGAUUAGAUACCCUGGUAGUCCACACAGUAAACGAUGAAUACUCGCUGUUUGCGAUAUACAGUAAGCGGCCAAGCGAAAGCAUUAAGUAUUCCACCUGGGGAGUACGCCGGCAACGGUGAAACUCAAAUG